This 402-nucleotide long non-coding RNA is filed under the name Mytilus galloprovincialis (Mediterranean mussel). Lineage: Eukaryota; Metazoa; Mollusca; Bivalvia; Mytilida; Mytilidae. The record is from RNAcentral.
AUUUUUUUUUGCAAUAUUCGACUAUCGAAUAUAAGCGUAGAUGAUAAUAUAAAGGUUUCGUCUGAUCCCAAAUUCAUGUAUUUGGUUUUGAUGUUAUGUUUGUUAUUCUCGUGGGAUUUUGUCUGAUGCUUGGUCCGUUUCUGUGUGUGUUAGUAACAGUGUAGUGUUGUGUCGUUGUUCUCCUCUUAUAUUUAUGCGUUUCCCUCAGUUUUAGUUUGUUACCCCGAUUUUGUUUUUUGUCCAUGGAUUUAUGAGUUUGAACAGCGGUAUACUACUGUUGCCUUUGUUUGCAUGACUGUAACACUAUUGUGUAUAUUUUUGUGAAGGGUUUACAUACAUGUUUUCUUGACAUACGUCCUUUAUAACAAUGUGCCAAAUUUUACAGAAAUGCCCUUAAAAAGC